This 435-nucleotide ribosomal RNA is filed under the name uncultured bacterium. Its description in RNAcentral is "bacterial SSU rRNA". It matches the Rfam family "Bacterial small subunit ribosomal RNA", at positions 48 to 507 of the family's 1533-position model. The record is from RNAcentral.
UUAACUAACAUAGCAAGUCGAACGGGAAGGUGGUGUUUCCGAGUGGCGAACGGGUGAGUAACGCGUAGAACCUAGCCCUUCGGAGGGGGAACGAACAACUGGAAACGGGUUAGCUAAUACCCCGUACGGCGUGAGGAGGCAAAAGGAGGAAAUUACGCCCAACGGAGGGGCGUCGCGUCUGAUUAGCUAGUUGGUGAGGUAAUAGCUUACCAAGGCGAUGAUCAGUAGCUGGUCCGAGAGGAUGAUCAGCCACACUGGGACUGAGACACGGCCCAGACUCCUACGGGAGGCAGUAGUGGGGAAGUUUUCCGCAAUGGGCGAAAGCCUGACGGAGCAAUGCCGCAUGGAGGGUGGAAGGCCUACGGGUCAUCAACUUCCUUUCUCGGAGAAGAAACAAUGACGGUAUCUGAGGAAUAAGCAUUGGCUAACUCUGUG